RNAcentral lists this small nuclear RNA (105 nucleotides) under Mus spicilegus (steppe mouse). Lineage: Eukaryota; Metazoa; Chordata; Mammalia; Rodentia; Muridae. The record is from RNAcentral.
GUGCUCUUCAACACACAUGCUAAGAUUGGAAUGAUACAGAGAAGAUCAGCAUGCUCACCCUGCACAAAGGAUGACAUACAAAUUCAUAAAGCAUUCAGUAUUAUU